UUCUCUUGCACGAUGUCCGUCUUCAGCAGGUUGUCAGCCAGGACGAAUGCCCCUUGCUCCACCGUGUCCAGCAGCAUGAUGGCAAGCAUGAGCACAGUUG
Long non-coding RNA from Sebastes umbrosus (honeycomb rockfish), 100 nucleotides. RefSeq lists it as uncharacterized. NCBI's taxonomy places the organism in Eukaryota, Metazoa, Chordata, Actinopteri, Perciformes, Sebastidae. The record is from RefSeq and is a predicted model, not a curated record. The transcript is spliced from 3 exons.